This 86-nucleotide transfer RNA is filed under the name Candidatus Wildermuthbacteria bacterium RIFCSPHIGHO2_01_FULL_47_27. RNAcentral's name for it is "tRNA-Ser". It matches the Rfam family "tRNA". From Rfam's summary of the family: Transfer RNA (tRNA) molecules are approximately 80 nucleotides in length. The record is from RNAcentral. Lineage: Bacteria; Candidatus Wildermuthiibacteriota. RNAcentral also lists the same sequence under 2 other names.
GGCGGGGUGCCGGAGUGGUUGAACGGGGCGGUCUCGAAAACCGUUAUACUCAAAAGGUAUCGUGAGUUCGAAUCUCACCCCCGCCG